AUAUUCUGGUUUUUCUUCAUUUCGUAUAAAUCUUUCGCCUUUUACUAAAGAUUUCUUUGUAUUGCAUUAGUGCCUAGAGGCCCAACCUCCAUUGUGCAAGGUGCUGUAUAGCGGAG
Molecule: small nuclear RNA, 116 nt
Organism: Chelonoidis abingdonii (Abingdon island giant tortoise)
Lineage: Eukaryota; Metazoa; Chordata; Testudines; Testudinidae
Product: U5 spliceosomal RNA
Source: RefSeq, a predicted model, not a curated record